RNAcentral lists this ribosomal RNA (484 nucleotides) under uncultured bacterium. Its description in RNAcentral is "bacterial SSU rRNA". It matches the Rfam family "Bacterial small subunit ribosomal RNA", at positions 9 to 482 of the family's 1533-position model. The record is from RNAcentral.
GAGUUUGAUCCUGGCUCAGAUUGAACGCUGGCGGCAGGCCUAACACAUGCAAGUCGAACGGUAACAGAAAGCAGCUUGCUGCUUUGCUGACGAGUGGCGGACGGGUGAGUAAUGUCUGGGAAACUGCCUGAUGGAGGGGGAUAACUACUGGAAACGGUAGCUAAUACCGCAUAACGUCGCAAGACCAAAGAGGGGGACCUUCGGGCCUCUUGCCAUCGGAUGUGCCCAGAUGGGAUUAGCUUGUUGGUGGGGUAACGGCUCACCAAGGCGACGAUCUCCAGCUGGUCUGAGAGGAUGACCAGCCACACUGGAACUGAGACACGGUCCAGACUCCUACGGGAGGCAGCAGUGGGGAAUAUUGCACAAUGGGCGCAAGCCUGAUGCAGCCAUGCCGCGUGUAUGAAGAAGGCCUUCGGGUUGUAAAGUACUUUCAGCGGGGAGGAAGGGAGUAAAGUUAAUACCCUUGCUCAUUGACGUUACCCGC